CGGAGCCGGCUGGCAACCACGGGGUAAUCCUGAGGAAGCACCGCCCUCCGCGCGGCGCGGGAACCCCGUAAGGGGUGCGGGGAGACCCGCGGCUCCGGCACAGAAACGACACGGCCGCCCUCGGAUGUCUAUGAUGCGGUGAGGACAUCCCGGUAACGGGGUGUCAGUAACCCGCUGAGUAUGGGGGCGGAUGCGUUGAAACGGCCGCCCUCCCGGGAGUAAGGCCAAGCAACGCCUAUGAAGGCCGCGUGAGGCGUGGGUAGGCCGUUUAGCUAAAUGUUGCCGUAGUACAGAAGGCGGGCUAUAGCCGGCACCG
Molecule: RNase P RNA, 316 nt
Filed under: Zestosphaera tikiterensis
Lineage: Archaea; Thermoproteati; Thermoproteota; Thermoprotei; Desulfurococcales; Desulfurococcaceae
Description: RNase P RNA component
Rfam family: Archaeal RNase P
About the family: Ribonuclease P (RNase P) is a ubiquitous endoribonuclease, found in archaea, bacteria and eukarya as well as chloroplasts and mitochondria. Its best characterised activity is the generation of mature 5'-ends of tRNAs by cleaving the 5'-leader elements of precursor-tRNAs.
Source: RNAcentral